GCCUUCGUGGCUCAGUUGGCUAGAGCGCCGGUCUCAUACUCUGUAUGAUCAUCUUUCAUGAUGAGUAAUCCGGAGAUCGCCAGUUCGAGCCUGGCCGAGGGCA
This 103-nucleotide transfer RNA is filed under the name Phakopsora pachyrhizi. RNAcentral describes it as "tRNA-Met". It matches the Rfam family "tRNA". Rfam says of the family: Transfer RNA (tRNA) molecules are approximately 80 nucleotides in length. Their secondary structure includes four short double-helical elements and three loops (D, anti-codon, and T loops). Further hydrogen bonds mediate the characteristic L-shaped molecular structure. tRNAs have two regions of fundamental functional importance: the anti-codon, which is responsible for specific mRNA codon recognition, and the 3' end, to which the tRNAs corresponding amino acid is attached (by aminoacyl-tRNA synthetases). tRNAs cope with the degeneracy of the genetic code in two manners: having more than one tRNA (with a specific anti-codon) for a particular amino acid; and 'wobble' base-pairing, i.e. permitting non-standard base-pairing at the 3rd anti-codon position. Lineage: Eukaryota; Fungi; Basidiomycota; Pucciniomycetes; Pucciniales; Phakopsoraceae. The record is from RNAcentral.